GAGGAAUGUAUAGCAAUAGCUACUUGCAUCAUUGUUUCCUUAGUUUUCGUAAGGAUACUACGGAAACUGAUGAUGCAAGAUCGACUAUGUUGAAUAAAAUUCUAGGUAGAAUUAUGAUAAUGACAUUGUCUGCCUAUGUGUCUUGACUAAAUUACGUGCCAGCAGUCGCGGUAAUACGUAGAAGACUAGUGUUAUUCAUCUUUAAUAGGUUUAAAGGGUACCUAGACGGUAAAUCAAGCCUACCAUUAAAAUAAAAUAAAUGUAGGGACUAAUUUACUAGAGUUACUUAUGAGGGGGUUUAAAAGUACUGCUGGUGUAGAGAUGAAAUUCUGUCAUACCUCUUUUCAAUAGAAAAAUCACGGCACAGGUAUAGGCGAAAGCAUCCCCUUAUGUGAUAACUGACGUUGAGGGACGAAGGCUUUGUGUAGCGAACAGGAUUAGAUACCCUAGUAGUCAAAGCAGAAAAUGAUGAAUGUCAUAGAUUAGACGUAUAAGUUUAUUCUAUAAAUGAAAGUGUAAGCAUUCCACCUCAAGAGUAAUUUGGCAACAUUGGAACUGAAAUCAUUAGACCGUUUCUGAAACCAG
This 585-nucleotide ribosomal RNA is filed under the name Platismatia glauca. RNAcentral describes it as "SSU rRNA". It matches the Rfam family "Bacterial small subunit ribosomal RNA", at positions 356 to 929 of the family's 1533-position model. The record is from RNAcentral. Lineage: Eukaryota; Fungi; Ascomycota; Lecanoromycetes; Lecanorales; Parmeliaceae.